CAGUGACGGACUGGCCAUCUGGAAUUUGGGCAAAUGCCAGAAGGGCCGCCCCCCUAUGGACCCCUACGGGCCACAACUGAUGCGUGAAAAGAUUCACUUGGAAGGCAGAGUUCCUAAUUUCCAAGCUAGGUUAUUGACAAAAAUAGAGCCGGUGUGUUGCAAAUGCCAGGGCCGUUUUUUGAUCCCAGUCCGUCACUGUUUAUUAGAGCUCGGCC
Long non-coding RNA from Sander lucioperca (pikeperch), 215 nucleotides. RefSeq lists it as uncharacterized. The record is from RefSeq and is a predicted model, not a curated record. NCBI's taxonomy places the organism in Eukaryota, Metazoa, Chordata, Actinopteri, Perciformes, Percidae. The transcript has 3 exons.